AUAAGAUAUCAAGGGCAACAGGUGAAUGCCUUGGCGCUGAGAGGCGAUGAAAGACGCGGUAAGCUGCGAUAAGCAUCGGGGAGGAGCUAAACAUCCUACGAUCCGAUGAUUUCUGAAUGGGGAAACCCGGCGGGAGUCAUGUCCCGUCGCCUGCAGGUGAAUACAUAGCCUGCAAGGAGCCAACUCGGGGAAGUGAAACAUCUCAGUACCCGAAGGAAAGGAAAUCAAACGAGACUCCCUCAGUAGCGGCGAGCGAAGGGGGAAGAGCCCAAACCGUGCGGAUUCGUCCGUGCGGGGUUGUAGGACCGGCAUAAGUGAUUCGCGAGUAGGCAGGGGAAGGAGGCUGGAAAGCCUCGCCAAAGCGGGUGAAAGCCCCGUACCCGAACCUGAAAACGACGCUGCCGGCACCUGAGUACCGCGAGGCACGUGAAACCUCGUGGGAAUCUGGGAGGACCAUCUUCCAAGGCUAAGUACUACCCGACGACCGAUAGUGCACCAGUACCGUGAGGGAAAGGUGAAAAGAACCCCUGUCAGGGGAGUGAAAUAGAAUCUGAAACCUGUUGCCUACAAGCUGCGAGAGCUGCUUUUUGCAGUGAUCGCGUGCCUUUUGUAUAAUGAGUCAGCGAGUUACUCUACCGUGCGAGGUUAAGCGAAAGCGUAGCCGUAGUGAAAGCGAGGCUUAAUAGGCCGACUAGUACGUUGGAGUAGACCCGAAACCGGGUGAUCUAUCCAUGAGCAGGUUGAAGCAAGGGUAAAGCCUUGUGGAGGACCGAACCGUCAACGGCUGAAAACGUUCCGGAUGACUUGUGGAUAGGGGUGAAAGGUCAAUCAAACCCGGUGAUAGCUGGUUCUCCCCGAAAUAUAUUGAGGUAUAGCCUCGGGAAUUGAUUAGCGGAGGUAAAGCACUGACAGAGCUAGGGGUCCUACCAGAUUACCAAACUCUAUCAAACUCAGAAUGCCGCUUAAUUGUAUCCCGGGAGUCAGACGGCGGGUGCGAAGGUUCGUCGUCAAAAGGGAAACAGCCCAGACCAACAGCUAAGGUCUCCAAAUCCAUGCUCAGUGGUGAAGGUAGUGGAACCGUUCAGACAGCCAGGACGUUGGCUUAGAAGCAGCCAUCAUUUAAAGAAAGCGUAAUAGCUCACUGGUCUAAUGACGUUGCGCCGAAAAUGUAACGGGGCUAAGCAUAGUGCCGAAGCUUUGAAUUCCGCGUAUGCGGUCUGGUAGGGGAGCGUUCUUCAUGGGCUGAAGGCGUGCUGUAAAGCACGUUGGACUGUGGAGAAGUGAUUAUGCUGACAUGAGUAACGAUAAAAUAUGUGAAAAACAUAUUCGCCGAAAACCCGAGGUUUCCUGGGUAAAGGUAAUCUUCCCAGGGUUAGUCGGCCCCUAAGGCGAGGCUGAAAGGCGUAGCUGAUGGGAAACGAGUUAAUAUUCUCGUACUUGUGUGUCCGCGCGAUGGAGGGACGCAGGAAGGUAAACGGUCCGGGUGUUGGUAUACCCGGUGCAAGCAGGUAGGCGUGCAGCACAGGCAAAUCCGUGCUGCUCUACGCUGAGACGCGAGUCCGUGGCCGCAAGGCCUGAAGCCGUUGAGCCUCUACUGCCUAGAAAAGCUCCUAAGUAUAGGAUACGCAAACCGUACUGCAAACCAACUCAGGUGGGUGGGAUGAAUAAUCCAAGGCGCUCGAGAGAACUCUGGCCAAGGAACUCGGCAAAAUAACCCCGUAACUUCGGAAGAAGGGGUGCUCUCUAGGGUGACAUGUUUAACAUAUGAAGCCCCGGGGAGCCGCAGUGAAUUGGUGGUGGCGACUGUUUACUAAAAACAUAGGUCUGUGCGAAGUCCUAAAGACGACGUAUACGGACUGACGCCUGCCCGGUGCCGGAAGGUUAAAAGGAGGGGUCAGCGCAAGCGAAGCUCCGAAUUGAAGCCCCGGUAAACGGCGGCCGUAACUAUAACGGUCCUAAGGUAGCGAAAUUCCUUGUCGGGUAA
This 1984-nucleotide ribosomal RNA is filed under the name human gut metagenome. RNAcentral's name for it is "bacterial LSU rRNA". It matches the Rfam family "Bacterial large subunit ribosomal RNA", at positions 1 to 1979 of the family's 2925-position model. The record is from RNAcentral.